RNAcentral lists this ribosomal RNA (492 nucleotides) under uncultured bacterium. RNAcentral's name for it is "partial 16S ribosomal RNA". It matches the Rfam family "Bacterial small subunit ribosomal RNA", at positions 29 to 507 of the family's 1533-position model. The record is from RNAcentral.
AGUGAACGCUGGCGGUAGGCCUAACACAUGCAAGUCGAACGGCAGCACAGUAAGAGCUUGCUCUUACGGGUGGCGAGUGGCGGACGGGUGAGGAAUACAUCGGAAUCUACUUUUUCGUGGGGGAUAACGUAGGGAAACUUACGCUAAUACCGCAUACGACCUACGGGUGAAAGCAGGGGAUCUUCGGACCUUGCGCGAUUGAAUGAGCCGAUGUCGGAUUAGCUAGUUGGCGGGGUAAAGGCCCACCAAGGCGACGAUCCGUAGCUGGUCUGAGAGGAUGAUCAGCCACAAUGGAACUGAGACACGGUCCAGACUCCUAAGGGAGGCAGCAGUGGGGAAUAUUGGACAAUGGGCGCAAGCCUGAUCCAGCCAUACCGCGUGGGUGAAGAAGGCCUUCGGGUUGUAAAGCCCUUUUGUUGGGAAAGAAAAGCAGCAGGUUAAUACCCCGCUGUUCUGACGGUACCCAAAGAAUAAGCACCGGCUAACUUCGUG